Long non-coding RNA from Physeter macrocephalus (sperm whale), 1175 nucleotides. RefSeq lists it as uncharacterized. The transcript has 4 exons. NCBI's taxonomy places the organism in Eukaryota, Metazoa, Chordata, Mammalia, Artiodactyla, Physeteridae. The record is from RefSeq and is a predicted model, not a curated record.
CCGGUCCUCGAACUCCGACCCCCCACCGUCCCCACAGGAUGCAGCCAGUCGGUCUCGCCCGGGCUGGACGCAGAGAGGCGGCCUCUGGCUCCUCGGCAGCGGCUCUGUGUGACCCUCGCUGGCCCCCUUGGCGCCCCUAGAGCCCGGUUCCCGGCGCAGAGCCUCACAGGUGGGAGGGUGCGGUCAGCAAGGUUCUCGGGCGGGCUGGCCGGAGUCUCCAGGGGCCGGGCUCUGCCUCAUCGCACUCGCCUCCCAGCGUGGCAGGUCUCCAGGCUGCGGGGGACCCAGAGGGGACGUGAGGAGGCCCCUCCUCCGGGUCAGCGUGGACAGCCGCUCCGAGGGGCCGGCUGCGGCCAGGACGCGGAGGACGGGGCAGGUGCACGGGGCCGCCAGAGGCCCGCCCCGCACACUCCCCCGUAACAGCAGCAGCAACAGGAGACUUGGAAGUUUAACUCAUCCCGUUUCAGAUGUGCCGGUGGGGAGAAGCUGAGGUCCACAGCUCCCAGAGGAACCUGGGGUCUCCCAGUUAAGUCGCGUUGGAGGAAGAGCCUGAGUCCUCCCCCGAACUCCUGUUCACGUCUCACUGUGCACACCCCGGACGCAGCCACCUCCUCCGCCCGUCUAUCACGCAGGGUGAUUCCUCUCUCAGACUACCAUCUUCUCCAGGAAGCAGCUAACGCCUCCAGCUACCUUCUCCAGCACCUGGCAUGGUUGCCACGGAGAUGACUGACCCUCCAGGAAAGAGGUGAGGCAGGUGAGGCAGGUGAGGAAGCACCUUUGUCCACCUGGAGCACUGGGGAAAAGACUUCUGUGACUUGCCUUCAUCCAAGAUGCGAGAGCCCACUGCGUCCAGUGGGGCCAUCUUUGGGGGGCAGAUUGCACCCCUCCUGCGCCUAACUCUCCCCUUGGUUCCCUGUUUCUGCUUAUCCUUCCACCUGUGUAUCCCCCAAGCUGGGGGCCUUGACUAAUAAAACUGGGGUAGUCAAAGGGGGGUUCAGGGGCAGUAGAUGUCAUCAGGCCCGGCAGGGACUCAGGCAGACGGCCCGGCCUUCAGACCCCACUCUUGACCUGAAUAUCCCUGGCUGGAGACCAGAGGCUCUUGCCUCAGUCCUUCCACGUGCCCCUGGGGUCCAGCCACCUCCCUCCGUGGGACCCACGCUUUAUAAAGGCCAAGA